Hemicordylus capensis (graceful crag lizard) is the source of this 732-nucleotide long non-coding RNA. RefSeq lists it as uncharacterized. The transcript is spliced from 2 exons. NCBI's taxonomy places the organism in Eukaryota, Metazoa, Chordata, Lepidosauria, Squamata, Cordylidae. The record is from RefSeq and is a predicted model, not a curated record.
CCCAGGAGGAUUGGCUGGCAGCGAGUCCAGCCGCAGUGGUGGGCCAGGCGGUGGGCCCAGCCGUGGAGGCCAGGCAGCGGAGGCCAGAAUUGGAAAUGGAUGACUUAAUAAUUCUGGUCGACAACAAGGGCUGGGAAGAUGUGAGCGUCACAGUUAGUGCCAGACCACUGUUCAAGCUGCUGGAUGGCAACGUGAUUUUCUUCUGGAUCAAAUGGUUUCUGUCUGCAUUCGGCACAGAUGUUGGCCCAAAGCAGAGCAAGCCGGUAAACAAAGUGACCAACUGGAAUGUCAUCACCUACAAACUCGGAAGCAAUGGGUGGAAGCUUUAUAACAUCACUGUAGUGAGAAAGUCAGAUGGCAGAAUUGCUACGUGUUUAACUCCGCUGCGUUGUACUUGGAUAAUUGAAGACCAGGGAAUCUAUCAAGAAGAUCACCGUGAAAACCACUGCAAAUUUAAACCAUCUCCUCCUCAGUUAGUCUAAGUUUUUGCAUAUGCUAAUAUAUGAAAGAAUUAGCUGUUUCUUAUUCUGACGAAUGAAAUGUUCUGUCUUUUGCGAAUAUGAAAGCUUAAUCUCAACAGAAAUCAAUAGCUCAAUCUCAACAGAAAUCAAUAGCUCAAUCUCAACAGAAAUCAAUAGCUUAAUCUCAACAGAAAUCCCUUUCCUGCUUUGUGUAUUUUAUUCUUGAGAACAAGUGCAACAAUAAUUGCCUUUAUUAAACUGCUUAGCCACA